AAUGGCUGAAGAACAUGUUAUAAUUGAAGAAGGGCAAAGGAAAAAGACGAAGAGGAAAACGAAGUUUUGAUUCCUCGUCCUGCAUGUUCCUGGGUGUAUUUUAGUAAGGAAUUUAUCAAAGAGUGCAUUGCUUCCCCUCCUAGGUCACCAGGCCUUAAAGCUGCGACAAAGGCUGCCUCAAAUGCAUGGAAGUCAAUGAGUCUUGAAGAGAAGGAAAAGUAUGCUAGGCAUGCACUUGAAGUGUGGGAUGGCUACUUGAGUUCGGGUGCUUCUGCCCCUGAACCCAAGCCAAGGAAACAGAUUAAAUACUGCAGACUAAACUGGUAACGAGAUGCUAUCCAGGUCGCUUAUUCAAUGUGUUACAGCGCCUCACACCUGAACAGAAGGAAUCAGUAAAGAGCAUGGGCUUUACUGACUCCUUGGACUUAGAUGUCGAACUCUUCGACGCAGUUUGUGUCUUUGGUUAUUUGAGAGGUUUGACGCUACUAAUUGCAGCUUAGGGAUCAGCAGUGUGCAUGGCCAGUAACUCCAGAAGAUGUGGAGACAGUAUUGGGAUUAUCAGCCAGUGGCAAAGAAGUGGUGAACUCUGGUACAGAAGACUUGAUUUCAGAUUUGCAGAGCAGUUACAAUGCGAUGAAUCAUGGAAUUUCAGUGCGACUUUUAGAGGACAGCUUGGCAACUGCCGAGGCUGGAGAUGAUUUUAAGAGGUUGUUUGUUCUCUAUGUGCUGGGAACUCUUCUGUCCCCAACAGCUAAGCAGGAUGUUAGCCCAUCAUUCCUCCACAUUUUGACAAAUAUGGAUCUUGUACAUCAGUAUAACCGGAGUAAAUUUGUGCUUGAUAGGCUGGUUGGAGAAGUAUCGCUCUUCCAUAAAGGCAAGCAAAGAGCUGUUGGUGGUUGUCUGUUAUUUUUGCAUGACCAGUAAUAACCAUGAAGUGACUUGCAUCUAUUCUCCAUGUCCCUGUCCACUUCAGGAAUGUAACUAUGUUGGGUCAUUUGAACAGUUGGCAUUGCAUUUCAGCAGUAACCACUGGGAUUCUGGAAGACGAUUCAAAUAUAAUUAUCCAUUGGCUAUCUCUUUACAAAUGGAUGAACAAUUUCUUAUUCUCCAGGCAGAAGAAGAUGGGGUUCUCUUUCUCCUCAACAAGGGCACAUAAACUAAUGGAAUAGAGUGAUGAUAACCUGUAUUGGUCCAACCUCAUCAAAAGAGAGGUUUGUUUGUGAGAUUGUUUCAUGUAGGAAAAAAGUUCUCUCAGAUUGAAGUCUGUUGCUGAGAAUUUUCUUCCCCCCGCUAGAUUUUAUUCUGAUUCCUUUCAGUUUUCUUGUUUCUUCGGGGGAGCUCAAUAUACAUAUUUGUAUAUGGAAUUCUAUCAGGCACACAGUAGAUAGCUCUUGA
This is a non-coding RNA of Vigna umbellata (rice bean), 1395 nucleotides long. Lineage: Eukaryota; Viridiplantae; Streptophyta; Magnoliopsida; Fabales; Fabaceae. The record is from RefSeq and is a predicted model, not a curated record.